RNAcentral lists this ribosomal RNA (526 nucleotides) under uncultured bacterium. RNAcentral describes it as "partial 16S ribosomal RNA". It matches the Rfam family "Bacterial small subunit ribosomal RNA", at positions 355 to 868 of the family's 1533-position model. The record is from RNAcentral.
UGGGGAAUUUUGGACAAUGGGCGAAAGCCUGAUCCAGCAAUGCCGCGUGUGUGAAGAAGGCCUUCGGGUUGUAAAGCACUUUUGUCAGGAAAGAAAUCCUUGGCUCUAAUACAGUCGGGGGAUGACGGUACCGGAAGAAUAAGCACCGGCUAACUACGUGCCAGCAGCCGCGGUAAUACGUAGGGUGCAAGCGUUAAUCGGAAUUACUGGGCGUAAAGCGUGCGCAGGCGGUUUGCUAAGACCGAUGUGAAAUCCCCGGGCUCAACCUGGGAACUGCAUUGGUGACUGGCAGGCUAGAGUAUGGCAGAGGGGGGUAGAAUUCCCACGUGUAGCAGUGAAAUGCGUAGAGAUGUGGAGGAAUACCGAUGGCGAAGGCAGCCCCCUGAGCCAAAUACUGACGCUCAUGCACGAAAGCGUGGGGAGCAAAACAGGAUUAGAUACCUUGGUAGUCCACGCCCUAAAACGAUGUCAAACUAGUUNUUGGGGAUUCAUUUUCCUUAGUAACGUAGCUAACGCGUGAAGUUGA